RNAcentral lists this ribosomal RNA (498 nucleotides) under uncultured bacterium. RNAcentral's name for it is "partial 16S ribosomal RNA". It matches the Rfam family "Bacterial small subunit ribosomal RNA", at positions 30 to 523 of the family's 1533-position model. The record is from RNAcentral.
AUUGAACGCUGGCGGCAUGCCUUACACAUGCAAGUCGAACGGUAACAGGUCUUCGGAUGCUGACGAGUGGCGAACGGGUGAGUAAUACAUCGGAACGUGCCUAGUAGUGGGGGAUAACUACUCGAAAGAGUGGCUAAUACCGCAUGAGAUCUACGGAUGAAAGCAGGGGAUCGCAAGACCUUGUGCUACUAGAGCGGCCGAUGGCAGAUUAGGUAGUUGGUGGGAUAAAAGCUUACCAAGCCGACGAUCUGUAGCUGGUCUGAGAGGACGAUCAGCCAACCUGGGACUGAGACACGGCCCAGACUCCUACGGGAGGCAGCAGUGGGGAAUUUUGGACAAUGGGCGCAAGCCUGAUCCAGCAAUGCCGCGUGCAGGAUGAAGGCCUUCGGGUCGUAAACUGCUUUUGUACGGAACGAAAAGCCCCGGGUUAAUACCCUGGGGUCAUGACGGUACCGUAAGAAUAAGCACCGGCUAACUACGUGCCAGCCGCCGCGGUAA